Chenopodium quinoa (quinoa) is the source of this 714-nucleotide long non-coding RNA. RefSeq lists it as uncharacterized. The transcript has 3 exons. NCBI's taxonomy places the organism in Eukaryota, Viridiplantae, Streptophyta, Magnoliopsida, Caryophyllales, Amaranthaceae. The record is from RefSeq and is a predicted model, not a curated record.
GUUUGUUGCCCAAAGGCAAUAAUAGGCAACAAAGCUAUAUUUUGUUGUCCAAAAAGUUAUAUUGUGCGACAUCGAUUCAUGGUUCGUUGCCCUAGUAGAGACAAAGGACUGCAAAUAACUGAAUUCGUUGCCCAAAACUCUAAAAAAGAAGGCGGGAUAUUUUUUCCCGCUGCUAAAAUUUCACCUCAAAAAUUCUAAUUUCAAAUAACCUUUCUAAUACUUAACAAGUUUUUUCCGUCAGCUGUAAGAAAAAAAAAAAAAAAACUUAACAAGUUUUUUUACUGAAGUCCCAAACACCCUACAUCUCUUUUUCCCUCUAGAAUCCUCUAUUUCAUCAUCUUCAUCUCAAUUUCUCUUCUUCGAUCCAUUGAAACGGCUAUGGAGCUCUCUCUCGUCCACUGUAAAAGCUUCCAUGGUCAUCUGAACACGCUGAAGCGCAGCGAGAUUCUAACUAUACAAGAUUAUAUGAGAAGACCAUAAAAAACAACCGAGGAACCUGAAGUACACAUUGGAUAUAUUUGUGGUCUUUAUUAUAAUAAUAAGUGGGUAUAUUCUAGUGAUCAUUAAAUUUAACUUUGUAUAUAUAGUUCUCCUAGUAGAACAAUAUAAAUAUAGAUGUAAUUUUGAUUUUUUUGGAUUGAACUUGGAAAAGUAUGUAAUAUUUAAAAUGAUUGUUAUUAUAUGUUAUCUCAUAUCUCAAUUAUAAAAUGUAAA